AUUAAAACUAUGAAGAGAAGAGUAUGCUUUUGUUGAAUUUUCAGAGAGAACUACAUUUGGUGUGAGUAGUUUAAAUUAUAUAAAGCUGAAAACCACCUCUGAGUGACUCUAAUAAAGUCCGUAUUAAUCACGUUACGAUUAUUUAAGACUUAUAUUAUAUAAGUGAACUUGGGUGGAACCACGGGAUUUAUACUCUCGUCCCUUUU
This 206-nucleotide non-coding RNA is filed under the name Clostridium cavendishii. RNAcentral describes it as "T-box sequence". It matches the Rfam family "T-box leader". From Rfam's summary of the family: Uncharged tRNA acts as the effector for transcription antitermination of genes in the T-box leader family. The record is from RNAcentral. Lineage: Bacteria; Bacillati; Bacillota; Clostridia; Eubacteriales; Clostridiaceae.